GUAUGUUUAUUGUUUACUACUUCGGAAACUAAGACCACAGUGAAAAGGACAGCUUCCAAAAUAGCAAAGAAAGUUACUGCUACUAACAAAAUAACUUUAAAAUAAGUAUUGCUGAAUGGACUGCCUCAUUUCGACAGUUAUUCGUUCCUACCAUGGAUCACAGAGAACAGUUAAACUGUGUUAAAUUAGGCUUCAGUUAGAUAGAUCCUUGUCACUGUUAAUUGGCUUCCUAUAGAUGUCAUUAGGAUUGUUUGUAGAAGAAGACAAGACUGGGCUGUACAGUUUGAUUUGACACCAAGUUCUCCAGCAGAAAGGAGACACAUCUGACAGAAGGGCAGCCCAUGGAAAGACAAAACUGUCAAAGAAAGAAGGAAGCGAAAACAAUCCAACUGAGCAUUUCCUUGCAAUGCAUCCUUUCCCUGGGAAGACAAGAAACUGCAUUUCAGCUGCUGUAGAAAAAGCACAAGCCAGAUGUGGAGUUCAAUGCCAGUGCAUCGACUAACAGGACAAAAAAUGUGCACAGGAGGUGUCAAACCCCAGAAUGCAGCAGCACAGAGGAGCUGAAGGGGUUCUUUCUUCUCCUCCACUUGGGUGCUUCAAGCAGUGGAGCUAAUGCAGCUCCAUUGGCGGAGCAGAUGAGCAUGGCAUCCUUAAUGCCCUGUGGCCUAGCAGAUUAAUUGUGCAACCAUUGUCCUCCCACUUUUCCUGCAUAUUAAAUUGGAGCUAAUGAGUCAUUAUCUGUGGUCUGCUUGGAAGAAUGGGUUGUUUGUUCAGCACUUUGAAAUCGUAAAUCAAUAUAUACUGCAAACGUGAUGUGCUGCCUACAACUUCAUUCAACAGAGAGCAGCAUUGGACAGGAAAAAAUGAUGUAUCACCCUGGCUCUUAAUGCUGCCCUCUGCAGAAUCUGGUGAUGCGGGUGACUCCUGGGUGUCUGUCUGGAGAGCAAGUAUGAUGGAAGGGGGCUUAUUCACCAUCUCCUGUGGGCAAAGUGAGCAAACCUAAAUGAAGUAAGAGGAAGAUAUAAAUGGUGAUCACCUGAAUCAUUCUGACAUCCAUAGAGUUACUAUUCAUUUAGUAAGCCAAUGACACAAGUAUUUCCUUUGGUACUCCAAGGUUCUCUCCAGGCAUAUCAGGCAGUAUUUUCAGACAAGCACUUAAAAAAAAAAAAAAAAAAGGAAAAAAAAAAAAAGGAAAAAAGUCACAUACAUUCUGUGGCUACUUCUUAGGAUUGCCUUAAAUGUUGUCUUUAGAAUUCAAGGAAGUUUAGGAAAAAAAUCUAUUUCUCUUUCUGACAUAGCAUUUUCUGAGAUAGGUUGCAGCAGCUUUCAGGGCUCCCUGGAGUACAGCAUUUUGAGAGAGAUAGCAUUUCCAGGCUCUGUUCAGCGCCACACCACCCCCUGUGCUUCUCCUCCUUCACUCCAGGGCUCUUCCCAGGGAUGCUCUGAAAAUAGAGAAGAUUUACCACCUGUAGGACUGCAGCUGGUACUGAAAGACUGCUGGAAAAAAAAGAAAAAAAAAAAAAAAGGCAAAUAAGGUUCACUGUAUUCACAUUUUGCCAGUUCUCUUCAACAAUUGACAAGUCCUAACAAAUCUCUGCAUCAGUAUUUCUAAGAUAUAGUUGCAAGAAGCUGCGCUUAGGUUUCGGUUUUCAGGAUUAACUCUGCCUUUUUAUUUUCUGCUUAUGCUGUAAGCAUAACGCUCCAGGUUAAGGGCUUAAAACAGAAUUUACAGUGAAUCCAGAGCAUAUACUCAUUUGUGUGACUUUGUAAUUGUAAUUCUGAAUGCAAAAAUGUUACCCUUCCUUUUCCUGUGGUUUGCAAUGACAUGUGUGACAGUAAGCAGUGUGACCAAGACUGAAAUUCAUUAUAUGCAGUCCACCUCACCUUACCCAAAAUACGUGGAUGACUGUUAAAAUACCAUAAUUAUGCACAAAGGAGAAAGAAAGAGGGAGAGUGUGUUUUUUUUCUUUUUUUUCUUCUCCUUUUUUUCUUUUUUAAUUUAUAUCAGGC
Gallus gallus (chicken) is the source of this 2010-nucleotide long non-coding RNA. Lineage: Eukaryota; Metazoa; Chordata; Aves; Galliformes; Phasianidae. The record is from Ensembl.